GUACAUUGCCAGGUGCUUGCUGCACAGGUAUCUAUGCAUCCCACGAGACAGGGACUCUCUGAAGGGCAGAACAGAACAGAAACUGUACCUGCCUCAUUUUUGUACCAGAUAGAAAGUCCAGCCCUUAGCAGGCUGCCCCUAAAUGUUUGCUAAGUUCAAUGGAAAGAUGUCAAAGGAUCCUCAGGAGGAAGAGGGGGUUAGGAAAGUAAAAGGAGGCAACGUCUUGAGGUCGGAAGAAAAGUUCCAUUUCCAAAGGUCAGUAGGGAGGUUCCGACUCUUAAUCCCCCUUCUGAGAAGGGAGGCCCCGACUAAGAGGCAGGGUGGCAGAGCCAGCAAGGGGAAAGUGUUAGGGACCAGUCCCAGAGCACAAGCAAGACAAUCAGGCUGAUGGAAAUACUGACAAUAAAAAAAUGAAGCAGCUUUGAAAUGUACAUUACUAUAAUUAAAGUGACUUGCUCUUUGGAAAUUCCUGAGAUGAGGAAACCUGAAGCCCAGGACUUGAAAUUAUCCAACAGAUCUGGUGGCUGCUCUGUCUUCAUAAGAAGACAUUUGCUUGCUCUUGUCUUACUGUGUUCAUGGCCCUACAAAGACUGUAAACAGGCAGAUCUAGCCACUGAGACUGAAGAAAACCCUUAGGCCAGACAUUGUCUGCUAACUGCCUGUUUCAUGGGGUGUCUUGGGACCAAGAGAAUCGUGAUUCCCAAACACUUAGAAGAUUUUGGAUGGAUCCAUUUCCAACUGAGAAAAAAAUAGGAAGAUGAUUUUUUUCAAAAACAGUGCAUGAUUUCAAAAAUAGGAAAGACCGAACACAGAACUAUAUAAAAUAGUAAACACAGAUACAAAUAAUGAAGUAUUAGGCAUUUUAAAGGUCAAAAAUAAUAGUUUAAAAAAUUAGGCAGCAGGGUGGUGGUAGCAGGAUACACAAAUGAAGAAACUUAUUUAAUAGUAAAGAGAUUGCUGAAUGGACUAAGAGUUAAAGGCAAAGCGGCUUUUGCCUCCAGCAGGGAAGGGAGACACUCAUUACAGCAUACUCCAAAGAGGACAAGGCCAGUACCCAACCUAAACCAAGAAAAGAAAUCCCUUUAUUUUCAUGUAGUUUAGGGUGCACAGGACAACCAGGAAACUAACGACCAGGAACAUAAAAACCAGGGGUUUCAAACAGCAUCAAGCAAGGGAUGGGACAAAGUUGUCAGACAUUUCUUUUUCUUUUUUUUUAAGACGGAGUUUCGCUCUUGUUACCCAGGCUGGAGUGCAAUGGCGCAAUCUUGGCUCACCGCAACCUCCGCCUCCUGGGUUCAGGCAAUUCUCCUGCCUCACCCUCCCAAGUAGCCGGGAUUACAGGCACACGCCACCAUGCCCAGCUAAUUUUUUGUAUUUUUAGUAGAGACGGGGUUUCACCAUGUUGACCAGGAUGGUCUCGAUGUUUUGACCUCGUGAUCCACCCGCCUCGGCCUCCCAAAGUGCUGGGAUUACAGGCUUGAGCCACCGCGCCCGGCCCCAGUUGUCAGACAUUUCUAUUGCCAUAGGUCCCUCCUUCAAAAUUCUACCCAAGCAUCUUAAAUUCUUUGGCCAUAAAAAUGCCAAACAUUUCAAUGAAGUUGAUCACAAGAUAGAAAUUUAUCCAGCAUGGCUUUAGGUGAUAUAAGGGUUAUAAAAUGAGUAAGUCAAGAAUUCUCUCCUAAAAAUGCAUCUACUUUAACCAUUUGACUAGACAGGUGCACCAAAAUUUAUAUUGCAAGGUAGAAAGUGAUGAGUGUGGUGGGAAGAAGGGUGAAUGAGAAGAUCACUUUUGACUAAAGGAUAGCAGGAACAACUCCAUGAAGAAAGGGGCAGUUUAGAAGGGUCAGAUAGAUUGUUAGGGCUUUAAAUAUGCAGGUAGGGGAAGGAUGGGUACAAACAUAAAGGAGGACAGGAAAUCGGCAGAAAACACCAAGUAGAACCAUUUAGUGAAGGAUGGCUCAGCGGGAGCAUGGGGAACAGGCUGGAAAAGUGAGCUGGAAGUUAGAGUUUGGAAUACUUUCAAUGUCCAAUUAAAGAAUUUGAAUUGACAGAA
Non-coding RNA from Callithrix jacchus (white-tufted-ear marmoset), 2053 nucleotides. NCBI's taxonomy places the organism in Eukaryota, Metazoa, Chordata, Mammalia, Primates, Cebidae. The record is from RefSeq and is a predicted model, not a curated record.